This 497-nucleotide ribosomal RNA is filed under the name uncultured bacterium. Its description in RNAcentral is "partial 16S ribosomal RNA". It matches the Rfam family "Bacterial small subunit ribosomal RNA", at positions 28 to 507 of the family's 1533-position model. The record is from RNAcentral.
GACGAACGCUGGCGGCGUGCCCAAUACAUGCAAGUUGAGCGCUGAAGGUUGGUACUUGUACCGACUGGAUGAGCAGCGAACGGGUGAGUAACGCGUGGGGAAUCUGCCUUUGAGCGGGGGACAACAUUUGGAAACGAAUGCUAAUACCGCAUAAAAACUUUAAACACAAGUUUUAAGUUUGAAAGAUGCAAUUGCAUCACUCAAAGAUGAUCCCGCGUUGUAUUAGCUAGUUGGUGAGGUAAAGGCUCACCAAGGCGAUGAUACAUAGCCGACCUGAGAGGGUGAUCGGCCACAUUGGGACUGAGACACGGCCCAAACUCCUACGGGAGGCAGCAGUAGGGAAUCUUCGGCAAUGGACGAAAGUCUGACCGAGCAACGCCGCGGGAGUGAAGAAGGGUGUCGGAUCGUAAAACUCGGUUGGUAGAGAAGAACGUUGGUGAGAGUGGAAAGCUCAUCAAGUGACGGUAACUACCCAGAAAGGGACGGCUAACUACGUG